UUCUUCGCAAUUUCUUCGCGAUCAAAUUCUUCAGGGAAGAAGCUAAAUUUUCAACUGAAGACAUACAUUUUUAGGGGUCGAUAUUCAUCGUAUAACUCAUACUCCCCAGUGACUUAUCGAGCCUGUGUACACUCACAGACAUAUUAGUCUCUUAACCUAUAAGUCUUCAAACCACAAAAAUCACUAAGGGGCAGUGUAUGAACUUACAAUCUCCCCCUUUUUGGUGGUU
This 229-nucleotide long non-coding RNA is filed under the name Hordeum vulgare. RNAcentral's name for it is "long non-coding RNA (HVUL_LNC004392)". The record is from RNAcentral. Lineage: Eukaryota; Viridiplantae; Streptophyta; Magnoliopsida; Poales; Poaceae.